Molecule: ribosomal RNA, 502 nt
Filed under: uncultured bacterium
Lineage: Bacteria
Description: partial 16S ribosomal RNA
Rfam family: Bacterial small subunit ribosomal RNA
Source: RNAcentral
GACGAACGCUGGCGGCGUGCCUAAUACAUGCAAGUCGAACGAACCGCGACUAGGUGCUUGCACUUGGUCAAGGUGAGUGGCGAACGGGUGAGUAACACGUGGGUAACCUACCUCAUAGUGGGGGAUAACAGUCGGAAACGACUGCUAAUACCGCAUAGGACAUAGGAUCACAUGAUCCAGUAAGGAAAGGUGGCGCAAGCUAUCGCUAAGAGAUGGACCCGCGGUGCAUUAGCUAGUUGGUAGGGUAAAGGCCUACCAAGGCGAUGAUGCAUAGCCGACCUGAGAGGGUGAUCGGCCACAUUGGGACUGAGACACGGCCCAAACUCCUACGGGAGGCAGCAGUAGGGAAUCUUCCGCAAUGGACGCAAGUCUGACGGAGCAACGCCGCGUGAGUGAAGAAGGUCUUCGGAUCGUAAAGCUCUGUUGUUAGAGAAGAACAGCGCAUAGAGUAACUGUUAUGCGUGUGACGGUAUCUAACCAGAAAGCCACGGCUAACUACGUG